RNAcentral lists this ribosomal RNA (506 nucleotides) under uncultured bacterium. RNAcentral's name for it is "partial 16S ribosomal RNA". It matches the Rfam family "Bacterial small subunit ribosomal RNA", at positions 30 to 523 of the family's 1533-position model. The record is from RNAcentral.
AUUGAACGCUGGCGGCAGGCCUAACACAUGCAAGUCGAACGGUAACAGGAAACAGCUUGCUGUUUCGCUGACGAGUGGCGGACGGGUGAGUAAUGUCUGGGAAACUGCCUGAUGGAGGGGGAGGACUACUGGAAACGGUAGCUAAUACCGCAUAACGUCGCAAGACCAAAGAGGGGGACCUUCGGGCCUCUUGCCAUCGGAUGUGCCCGGAUGGGAUUAGAUAGUAGGGGGGGUAACGGCUCACCUAGGCGACGAUCCCUAGCUGGUCUGAGAGGAUGACCAGCCACACUGGAACUGAGACACGGUCCAGACUCCUACGGGAGGCAGCAGUGGGGAAUAUUGCACAAUGGGCGCAAGCCUGAUGCAGCCAUGCCGCGUGUAUGAAGAAGGCCCUCGGGUUGUAAAGUACUUUCAGCGGGGAGGAAGGGAGUAAAGUUAAUACCUUUGCUCAUUGACGUUACCCGCAGAAGAAGCACCGGCUAACUCCGUGCCAGCCGCCGCAGUAA